Ictalurus punctatus (channel catfish) is the source of this 3029-nucleotide long non-coding RNA. NCBI's taxonomy places the organism in Eukaryota, Metazoa, Chordata, Actinopteri, Siluriformes, Ictaluridae. The record is from Ensembl.
AGAGAUAUUAUGUAGAACCUAGAAGAGAUGAUUUCUCUUUGAUAAAAGAUUCCACAACAUCUUUAAAAAGCCUUAAACGGUCCUUCAUUUUGCAUCCCUGACGAGAACCCUUCAACUCUAUCUUUCAUAAAGGGUUCUAAAGAACCUUUAGAAGGCCAUUAAGGGUUCUUCGGUUUGUACCCCUAGUCGGACCCUUUAACGAUUCUAUGUCGAACCCUACAAAGAUGACUUCUCUUUCAUAAAAUGACCCAAAACACCUUUAGAAAGCCCCGAGUGGUCCUUCAGUUUGAACCCCCAGUGGGCACCAUUAAAAAAAUCCUAUGUAGAACCCUACAACAGAAGGUGUCUUUAUUAAGGAAGGUUCCAAAGUGCCUUUAGAAACCGUAAGCGGGCCUUUGGUUUGUACCCUUGAAAAGAACCCUAAAACAGAUGAUUUCUCUUUCAUUAAAGGUUACAAAGCACCUUUAGAAAGCCCUAAAUGGUAAUUUGGUUUGUAGCAUCAGCAGGAACCCUUGAAGAUUCGGUGUAGAACCCUACUCUACAACAGAUGGCUUGUCUUUUCACAUAAUGAUCCAAAACACCUUUAGAAAGCUUUAGAAACCAUCCCAAGAACCCUUGAGGAACCCUAGUCAGAUUUUCUGACUAACCCAAUUUUUUUUUAAAAAUCCCAACACUACAAUGAAUACAUCGGUGCUUCUGUGCAUCACUACACCCAUAAUCAUGCACACACAAUAUUCUAUUUUCAUAUUCCCAAUUGCUUCGUUGCCUUUUCAGCAGGUCUGUGAUGUUAUUUGAGCAAACUUGGCAUCAAGUCUCCAUGUUCAACCCGAGGGCAAGAUUUGGUCACUUCCUCUCUACCUUGGUCUGCAGUCCCCUGCUGCGUUCCCGAGCUGUAGAAAGCUCCUGUAAUAGAAUCAAUCUCUUUCCUCUGCUGUCUGCACAGACUGACAUUAAUCCUCUGAGCCGUGGGGUGAGCUCUGGGGCACGAGCAAGUCGUACCCUUAUAUGACAUCGUGCACACAUGUCCUGCACACACUUGGGCUUGGAGGCAAGGUCAUGUUUUCCCCUACACACCAAAAAAGAAAAGCAAAAAGAUUUAGCUGUAGAAUGUUUAGCAGAGGAGCAGACACGCCCAAAGGACUGAACAAACCAGUGUAAAAAUUUCUCGGCAAUCACACACAGAUUGAAGAACGUCAUGGUGGUGUGCUCUUGCCUUUACCCUUCUCACACAUUACAGGUAAAAGAUAAACAACAAAGACAGACCUGCAGAUUUACGUCCGUCAAGAUCAGACCGAUAAUAUCCUCCAGCCCCAGACUACCUUAAUAAAAAUCUCCAUCCUGAGAACCUGUCAGAGCUCGUUCCAGUGGGGUUUGAUUGGCAGACACGCCAUCCAAUCGUGCUUGACUGACACGGCAGACAUCCUAAACUGUGACCUCGUGGCUGACCCCUGACCCAAAGCUGUCAGUCCCUCUGGGCAAAGACACGUGAGAAGAAGGACGUUUAAAACGAAGGCGCCAUUUUCCUGUUGGGCUCAAAGAAUAACAACUUCGACAUAGUGAAAAAGUAAAUGGCCUCCAGUAACCACUCUAUACACGGAUUUAUACCCAGGGGAAAUUUAGAGAUUUUCCAAACCACUGCCAAUGUUUUUGGGAGGUGGGAGGAAACCAGAGAACCAGGAAGAACCCCACAUCGACACUCGAGGUUCUGGCUUUUCAACACGCCAAAAAUGUGCACCCCUGUACACCCCAACACAUAUUUAAUGCCAAAAUUCCAUUAUACCCACGCCUGACGUGUCUUCCAGCUGUACUUUGCGUUUAAGCUUACAACUUAAUGUUGACAAACCCCACUCUAUCAUUAGACUUCGUAACACUUUGGUGCAAACUCAAGUGACAAGCGAUUAAACAGCGCACAAACUGUACAAGAACAAGCACAAAUACGUUUAAACCCCCAUUUGGUUUCAGCAGUGGGUAAAAUGCACUCCUUCCCUCGUCCACCGAUGCCAAGAUCUCUCUAUCAGGGUCUCCGGUCACGCUUCGGAAAGAUCAAGUUAAGAGGAACCUCUUUCUUUCUCACACUCUUUAGUGGCUUUCCAGGUUUUGAGAAUGAAGCAUAAAAUGGGCGGAACAGCAUCCAUUGAGAGCGUCCCCUUGUUCGCCGGGUGAGAUUAAUGGCCUUCCCACCCGAUGCCAAGCGCACACAAAGCCAGCAAGCCAGAGAGUUAGCAAUUAAUAUGCCGUGUUAUUGUUGGCCCUGUUCAGGCGUCCAAAUACGGAGAGGCUCAUAAACGGCCAUAGAUAUACAGUCAGUCCAAUAAAACGCUGGAGAUAAAGCAGCUUCGGAAUGAAGGGAAAGCUGGAACGUCAGAUCUAGCUGUGCGCAAUACAACCCGAGGGCAUUUCCGAGACGAUUACACGCACACGACUUUCACGUUUCAGAAACGUAAAACGAGUAGCAACAGGCUCCGGGGACAGACGUGAGGCCGUGACUGAUUAUAAGUCACAAAAAUUCACAUGCGCAAGAUUGCUAGGGAGAUUUUGGCAAGGUUUGUGCUCCCAAAAUACAGUCGAUCCCUUCAUUCUGUUUGUUGUAACAUUCAGAGUAGGUCUCUUAACCUCAGACGUCGAGUCUGCGUCGAUACGUGAUUGAUACGUGACCGACUUUGUUCAGAAUCUGGGGUAGGAGUAACGUUAAUUCAAGAACGAUGAUGAUGUACAGAAUGGUAAAUCACCUUGCUAGCCUGUUUACAGUUUAAAAAUCAGAUUAUUUAUUUAUUUAUUUUUACACACAAGCUGUUGCGAUUCAUUUCUACGUUUCCCUUUUACUUUGACGCAUCAGUCCAAAACAUUACACCCCAUUAUUUUAGACAGGAUCAGACUGAAAUCAUCAGCUUGUGUUAGCUUGCCAAUGAAUAAGCUAGCUAGUCAACUUGGUAGUUAGCUAAAAUCUAUUCUACUGUAUAAAAUAAAGCGUUUGGUAAAAUAUGGUAUUGAAUAAAGUGGUUCAUCUAUCAAUUCAGUAACUAUACAUA